RNAcentral lists this ribosomal RNA (111 nucleotides) under Erinaceus europaeus (western European hedgehog). The record is from RNAcentral. Lineage: Eukaryota; Metazoa; Chordata; Mammalia; Eulipotyphla; Erinaceidae.
GUCUAUGGCCAUACCACCCUAAACACGCCUGAUCUCGUCUGAUCUUGGAAGCUAAGCAGGGUCGGGCCUGGUUAGUACUUGGAUGGGAGAAAGGGAAAGUAAGAGCAAACC